UGGUUGCAUUAACAAGGUACUUUGGGAGAAAUUGGAGAGAGAAUUUUUAUCUUCAAAGACGUUGGACGGCACUUAGGAGACAGACUGGACAGCUCUGCUUUUACUCCUCUAACCCUAGUCACAAUUAUGUCAAAUGUUUCUCGAUGGGACCAUGUUUCUUUUCCUCUGCUCUCAGGCUUACCCUCAACUUGUCCAGAAGGGAUCUGAAGCUGCACUUCUGAGACUCAAACAAGCACGUGAUCUGUCUGCAAAGCAAGUACCUGGCCUUCCUCAGAACCAUCACCAUUUUCUAAUGCUGGCUUCUCCAACUCAAAGCCCAUGCAGAGCUCUCAUGAUUAUUCUGUUUACCUGCUGGGAUUCUCGCCUCCCACUAGAUUCCAGUCCCUCCUCGGUGGUGGUGCCUUCUCUUUCAUCAGCUUCUGCCUGAAUCAACUACACCACAGAUUCAUCGAGCUCCUUCUUUCCAGUCUCACGUGUCUUCACUCCGUGUUUCUAACAGGCUCCUCCCUUUUCGCAUUGAGGAAGGACGGAUCCUGUGAGAAGGAACCUGCUUCUCUUGCCUUUGUGAACAUCAAAGCCUUACACAGAAAAUACUCAAGAAAUAACCCCUGAUCAGUCACUUCAAGAUGACACCAUGACUGAAGCUAGCAGGCUUUCCAUAGGAGACAGAUUUGGUGUUUUUCUUUGCUGGCUCCAUUAGAGGACAUGUGA
This 711-nucleotide long non-coding RNA is filed under the name Mus spicilegus (steppe mouse). RNAcentral's name for it is "lncRNA (ENSMSIG00000016971.1)". The record is from RNAcentral. Lineage: Eukaryota; Metazoa; Chordata; Mammalia; Rodentia; Muridae.